This 484-nucleotide ribosomal RNA is filed under the name uncultured bacterium. Its description in RNAcentral is "partial 16S ribosomal RNA". It matches the Rfam family "Bacterial small subunit ribosomal RNA", at positions 30 to 507 of the family's 1533-position model. The record is from RNAcentral.
AUUGAACGCUGGCGGCAGGCCUAACACAUGCAAGUCGAGCGGAUGAAGGGAGCUUGCUCCUGGAUUCAGCGGCGGACGGGUGAGUAAUGCCUAGGAAUCUGCCUGGUAGUGGGGGAUAACGUCCGGAAACGGGCGCUAAUACCGCAUACGUCCUGAGGGAGAAAGUGGGGGAUCUUCGGACCUCACGCUAUCAGAUGAGCCUAGGUCGGAUUAGCUAGUUGGUGGGGUAAAGGCCUACCAAGGCGACGAUCCGUAACUGGUCUGAGAGGAUGAUCGGUCACACUGGAACUGAGACACGGUCCAGACUCCUACGGGAGGUAGCAGUGGGGAAUAUUGGACAAUGGGCGAAAGCCUGAUCCAGCCAUGCCGCGUGUGUGAAGAAGGUCUUCGGAUUGUAAAGCACUUUAAGUUGGGAGGAAGGGCAGUAAGUUAAUACCUUGCUGUUUUGACGUUACCAACAGAAUAAGCACCGGCUAACUUCGUG